AAGGGAGACCUAAUUCCGGUAGGAGACGAAAAAAAAGUAGUCCCAACCAAGAAUCAAUCCCAAAAGGUCGGAACGAGGUAUGAGGCUUUCAAACUAGGUUCUGGGUUCAUAAAAGACCUGAAUCAGGAACAAGGGCUAUUAGCUCAGGUGGUUAGAGCGCACCCCUGAUAAGGGUGAGGUCCCUGGUUCGAGUCCAGGAUGGCCCACCUGUACAGGUGGCAAAAAGAAAGAAAAGAAGCGAGGAAUCAGCACCUUAUCUUACUUAUAUAGUAGGAGAGAAUGCUGGCUCUGAGUACAGAGUCCAGAGGAACCUUGAAAACUGCAUAGAGCUAGGUGAAAAAGCCAAAAAAGAAGACCGCAA
Molecule: transfer RNA, 361 nt
Filed under: uncultured Microcystis sp.
Lineage: Bacteria; Bacillati; Cyanobacteriota; Cyanophyceae; Chroococcales; Microcystaceae
Description: partial 16S-23S ribosomal RNA intergenic spacer
Rfam family: tRNA (bases 133-206)
Source: RNAcentral